GAAGACUAUUAAAUGUUCAAUUUCAAUGCCAUAUGAUGGGUGGAUAUGUUUAAACUCUGACAAAAGCCAAUUGAGUCUAAUAUUGAAAUAAACACAUUACUAAGAUUAACAUUAUCAACAUCCAUAUGAAUAUUAAAAUCACCUACAAUAAAUACUUUAUCUGUUUGAAGGACUAAACUUCAUAAAAACUGAGAACACUGAGAAGUGUACAGGCCAGGAGCGCCGUUCUCUAUAACAAAUAGUAUUGGCUGCAGUGUUUUCUAGGCCGGGUUUCAGUUUAGAAUUAAUCAAAAGGCUUGAAUUGUAUAUGGCUGUUACCCCACCUCCUUGGCCGGUGCCUUGAGGAAUGUGAGUAUUAAUAUGACUGGGGGGAGUGGAUUCAUUUAUGGCACAGCCAGGUCUCAGUAAGACAAAGUAAAUCAAUAUCACCAUCUGAUAUUAACUCAUUAACUAGAACAGCUUUAGACGACAGAGACCCGAUGUUUAACCAUCACCAUUUAACUGCUGUGCAGAUGAACCAGCUUCCAGUUGUGGUUCGGGAGGCAGACACCCUCACCACAUUCAAGAGUAGGCUUAAGACAUUCCUCUUUGAUAAAGCUUAUAGUUAGGGCUGGAUCAGGUGAGUCCUGAACCAUCCCUUAGUUAUGCUGCUAUAGGCCUAGACUAUCGGGGGAUUUCCCAUGGUGCACUGAGCUCCUCUCUUCCUCUCUCUUUCUGCACUCAUUCAUGUCCCAUUAAUGCAUGUUACUAACUUCACUUCUUCCCCGGAGUUCUUGUGCUUUCUCGUCUCGCAGGUUCUUAUCGAUCCUGGUGGAGCCUCCUGCCAUGGUCCUGCUAGAUUGCCAUUGCCAAUACUGUUGUUGCUGUGCCUCCGUCUGUCUGUCUGUCUGUCUCUCUCUCUCUCUCUCUCUCUCUCUCUUUCACCCCAACUGGUCGAGGCAGACGACCACCCACCUAGAGCCGAAGGAUCUGUCCUAGGUUUCUGCCUUUUAACAGGCAGUUUUUCCUUGCCCCCGUCGCCAAGUGCUUGCUCAUGGUGGUACUGUUGGGCCUCUGUAAAUAAUGUUAUAAGGAGUUCGGUCUAGACCUGCUCUAUUUGAAAAGUGUCCUGGGAUAACUUCUGUUAUGAAUUGGCGCUAUAAAAAUAAAAUUGAAUUGAA
Dicentrarchus labrax (European seabass) is the source of this 1160-nucleotide long non-coding RNA. RefSeq lists it as uncharacterized. The transcript has 2 exons. Lineage: Eukaryota; Metazoa; Chordata; Actinopteri; Moronidae. The record is from RefSeq and is a predicted model, not a curated record.